ACUAAUUGACUUAUAUUAAUGGAUGAAAACCCCUAAACCAUUCACCUACUUAUCUCAUUCGUUGUUCGCCUAGUUAACAAAUUUGAUAUUGUUCAAUCAAUUACAUCUGAGAUAUCUUAAAGAGAAAAUGGUUUAUUAGCUUGUUUAGUCCAUUACAUGCAAAAGUAUCUAAAACUCCUGAAAGUGAAGACGACAUCAACAACAACUAUGUCAAACCCAUAUAAAGAAGAAUUGUAACCUCCUAGUGUUUCUCCUGAUCGAUAAUACCAACAACAUAUAAUGUCUUACAAACAACCUUACUAUUAGAGUUCGUACUUCUACGUACAACCAUAUAAUCAUCAAUUUUAUGCUCAUAAAAGCAUUGGUUGUGGCUUUUGGGACUUUGAAACCUUGGACAUGCCACAACAUUUUGAUCUCGCAAGUCUAUUUAACACAGUAAAUGGAGCAGUAAAGAAGCUGAACCACUCUUAUUCGAUUAGAAAAUUUCAUGCUAUUAGGAUGCCACAAAGCAUUUUGAAAGCAAAUAUUUGCCAAAUAUAACUAUAUUUUUCAAAUAAGCUAGAUUUCUAGUCUUUGAACAAAGGAUGCACAAAACGACAUUUGUUGUGAAAUAGAGGGAGUAAUAAUUUUUUUUUUUAGCUCCUUUAGAUUCAAUGAAUCAUAUGGUUCGUAGAGAAAUUAAAGUUGAGGUUUUGAAGUGAAAAUGAUAAAACUUUAAAUAGUUAGGUGAUAUAAACAAAAAAACUAAAGCAUGGUUCAACUAUAGUUUGAUUUUUCAACCUCAAAGCUUAGACAGUGGUAGGAGAAAAGUGUAUCAUUUCACGAACUCUCACAAAUAUAUCUCCUAACCGAAUAUUUAAACUGAUUUCAGAAUUACAUACAUAUAAAGUAAAAGUAGCAAAUAGAUAAAAGAGUUUUAAAUAGAGAUAUUCUUUUCCGUACAACAUGAUUCCAACCUUAAAAUAAUUAUGUAUUCUAGAAUCUACUAGCCACAUAAUGGACAUUCAUAUAAAAAUAAGAU
This 1021-nucleotide small RNA is filed under the name Arabidopsis thaliana (thale cress). RNAcentral describes it as "ATSL103290". Lineage: Eukaryota; Viridiplantae; Streptophyta; Magnoliopsida; Brassicales; Brassicaceae. The record is from RNAcentral.